Long non-coding RNA from Artibeus jamaicensis (Jamaican fruit-eating bat), 568 nucleotides. RefSeq lists it as uncharacterized. The record is from RefSeq and is a predicted model, not a curated record. NCBI's taxonomy places the organism in Eukaryota, Metazoa, Chordata, Mammalia, Chiroptera, Phyllostomidae. The transcript is spliced from 3 exons.
CAUUGCUGUGGAUAAUAUUUUCUCCUGGGGGAUUUUUCUACACAUUGUAGGUGCUUUAUUAGUAAUUCUUACCUCUGUUCAGUGUGUGCCAGUAACUCCCACCUUAACCCCACCCCAAGGACAGUGUGAAUGGUCUCCAUACAAUGUGUCAAAUGUCCCCUUGGAGGAAAAGUCAACCUUAGGUUGAAAACCACUGAAUUUGAAGCUGUUAUCAUCUUUGGAACCUGAGGGAUCUGUCCUUGGUUUUGUAAGUCGGCCGUGUGACAUUCAUGGCCAGGACACUAACAUCUGGAAAGUGCAGCCUCUGAGAGAUCAUGGACAUCUCCCGGCAAGAGUUGAUGUUGGAGAUUUGCCAGGGUUCUGAACACAUCGGAUGGUCUAGUUGCUGCUGAGGCCAUCCAGUCCACAUGUUGCCUGAGGACCAACCCCAUGAGGCCACGCAGGAAACAUACUCAACAUACCCAAAUCCCUUGCUGAAAAUCACUGGCACCAGGAUGUUUAUGUUCAUCGCUGGGUUCGACAGCAGUGGACCGGGAAGAAUACCUCAAGCAGCAUUCGUGACAGCAUU